GGAAAGAUGGCCGAGCGGUUUAAGGCGUUGGUCUUGAAAACCAAAGUAGCAUUCCGUGCUACCGUGGGUUCGAAUCCCACUCUUUCCG
Molecule: transfer RNA, 88 nt
Filed under: Chloroflexota bacterium
Lineage: Bacteria; Bacillati; Chloroflexota
Also listed under: 1 other name
Description: Chloroflexi bacterium tRNA-Ser
Rfam family: tRNA
About the family: Transfer RNA (tRNA) molecules are approximately 80 nucleotides in length. Their secondary structure includes four short double-helical elements and three loops (D, anti-codon, and T loops).
Source: RNAcentral